RNAcentral lists this ribosomal RNA (467 nucleotides) under uncultured bacterium. RNAcentral's name for it is "partial 16S ribosomal RNA". It matches the Rfam family "Bacterial small subunit ribosomal RNA", at positions 29 to 507 of the family's 1533-position model. The record is from RNAcentral.
ACGCACGCUGGCGGCGUGCUUCACACCUGCCAGUCGAACGGAAAGGCCCUGCUUUUGUGGGGUGCUCGAGUGGCGAACGGGUGAGUAACACGUGAGUAACCUGCCCUUGACUUUGGGAUAACUUCAGGAAACUGGGGCUAAUACCGGAUAGGAGCUCCUGCUGCAUGGUGGGGGUUGGAAAUUUUCGGCGGUUGGGGAUGGACUCGCGGCUUAUCAGCUUGUUGGUGGGGUAGUGGCUUACCAAGGCUUUGACGGGUAGCCGGCCUGAGAGGGUGACCGGCCACAUUGGGACUGAGAUACGGCCCAGACUCCUACGGGAGGCAGCAGUGGGGAAUAUUGCACAAUGGGCGGAAGCCUGAUGCAGCAACGCCGCGUGCGGGAUGACGGCCUUCGGGUUGUAAACCGCUUUCGCCUGUGACGAAGCGUGAGUGACGGUAAUGGGUAAAGAAGCACCGGCUAACUACGUG